CCCUGGAUGGCCCCCGAAUGCCUAACAGGUGGGCCCAACAGCCUAAGCACCGCCAUGGACAAGUGGGGGUUUGGCGCCACCCUCUUGGAGAUCUGCUUUGACGGAGAGGCCCCUCUGCAGAACCGCAGCCCCUCCGAGAAGGAGCAUUUCUACCAAAGGCAGCACCGGCUGCCCGAGCCCUCCUGCCCAGAGCUGGCCACACUCACCAGCCAGUGUCUGACCUAUGAGCCGACCCAGAGGCCAUCAUUCCGCACCAUCCUGCGUGACCUCACCCGGCUGCAGCCCCACAAUCUUGCUGACGUCUUGACUGUGAACCCGGACUCACCAGCCUCAGACCCUACGGUUUUCCACAAGCGCUAUUUGAAAAAGAUCCGAGAUCUGGGCGAGGGUCACUUCGGCAAGGUCAGCUUGUACUGCUACGAUCCGACCAACGACGGCACUGGCGAGAUGGUGGCGGUGAAAGCCCUCAAGGCAGACUGCGCUCCCCAGCACCGCUCCGGCUGGAAGCAGGAGAUUGACAUUCUGCGCACGCUCUAUCACGAGCACAUCGUCAAGUACAAGGGCUGCUGCGAGGACCAAGGUGGGCGGGACCCGGCGAGUCCUAGAGACUCGAGGGGGCGUGGUUAUAGCGGUGGCGUGGCCUUGUGGGCGGGGCCAGUCUGGCCUAGCCAAUUAGAGACUCUCAACCCCAGGCUGCAGUCCGCGGUUCUU
This 711-nucleotide small RNA is filed under the name Pongo abelii (Sumatran orangutan). RNAcentral describes it as "retained intron". Lineage: Eukaryota; Metazoa; Chordata; Mammalia; Primates; Hominidae. The record is from RNAcentral.